Trichogramma pretiosum is the source of this 679-nucleotide long non-coding RNA. RefSeq lists it as uncharacterized. The record is from RefSeq and is a predicted model, not a curated record. Lineage: Eukaryota; Metazoa; Arthropoda; Insecta; Hymenoptera; Trichogrammatidae. The transcript is spliced from 4 exons.
UCCCCGAGUAUCUGCCUAAUCUUGUGUUACGAGCAGUCACUUGGCUAAGAUAAUGUGCCCGGCGCAAAUCCCGGCUAAGCACAACAACUUAUCAGUUUUUCGCCCAAGCGGUGCUUCUAGGGGAUCUCGAGAAGGGAAGAACUCUUAAUGCGCCGAGAUAGUAAACGAAGCGAAUAAAUUCGGCGAUGGAAAAUUUUUAGGUGUUAAAGUACAUGUGUUGUAGUUUGGCAGAAAGUCCAAUCAUAAUUACAUGUUACAAUUAUAACGAUUACGUUAAAGCAUAGUCGAAAAAAUAUAUGUGGUCGCAAACGCGACACAAACUCGUAAUUCGAGACGAUCAAUUACUAAAAUUGUGUCUCAUAAAACAUGGCUUGUAUACAGGGAUGAAAGGCCAAUCGACGCUCUUGUUUAUACAUGUUUUGACGAUCCGAAAAAAGUGGACAAUAUAUUUACACAAUUUGAGCAUAUACACUUGAAAAUACAUCCGAGUGUGCACUGCGUAGGACGACGUCACGAGCUGCGAGUUAUCGAGUUCUUUCGAGUUUAAGCCCUGAAAUGUUCUACGUUGGUCAUAGUAUCAUUGCUGCUGUGCCUCAUCAAGGGUUGAACUUAAUUUGGACCUAUUGAAUCUUUGUACAAAGAGCAGAAUAACAAUAAUAUUCUGCGCCUAAUAACUAUG